AGUGAACGCUGGCGGUAGGCCUAACACAUGCAAGUCGAACGGCAGCACAGUAAGAGCUUGCUCGUACGGGUGGCGAGUGGCGGACGGGUGAGGAAUACAUCGGAAUCUACUUUUUCGUGGGGGAUAACGUAGGGAAACUUACGCUAAUACCGCAUACGACCUACGGGUGAAAGCAGGGGAUCUUCGGACCUUGCGCGAUUGAAUGAGCCGAUGUCGGAUUAGCUAGUUGGCGGGGUAAAGGCCCACCAAGGCGACGAUCCGUAGCUGGUCUGAGAGGAUGAUCAGCCACACGGGAACUGAGACACGGUCCAGACUCCUACGGGAGGCAGCAGUGGGGAAUAUUGGACAAUGGGCGCAAGCCUGAUCCAGCCAUACCGCGUGGGUGAAGAAGGCCUUCGGGUUGUAAAGCCCUUUUGUUGGGAAAGAAAAGCAGCAGGUUAAUACCCCGCUGUUCUGACGGUACCCAAAGAAUAAGCACCGGCUAACUUCGUG
RNAcentral lists this ribosomal RNA (492 nucleotides) under uncultured bacterium. RNAcentral's name for it is "partial 16S ribosomal RNA". It matches the Rfam family "Bacterial small subunit ribosomal RNA", at positions 29 to 507 of the family's 1533-position model. The record is from RNAcentral.